CUGAGUUGUCGACACGAGUUGUUGCUGGUCCUCAAACAAGGGGGCAUGUGCACGCUCUGUUCACACAUCCACUCACACCUGUGCACCCUCUGUAGUUCUAUGGUCUGGGGGGGACAUAUCAUCCUCCCCCUGUAGUUCUACGUCUUUACACAUACACCGUAGCAAAGUCUCAUGGAAUGUGCAUAGCGUCUAACGCAAUACAAUA
Molecule: unclassified non-coding RNA, 205 nt
Filed under: uncultured fungus
Lineage: Eukaryota; Fungi
Also listed under: 1 other name
Description: sequence contains ITS1, 5.8S rRNA gene
Source: RNAcentral